Molecule: long non-coding RNA, 616 nt
Filed under: Anser brachyrhynchus (Pink-footed goose)
Lineage: Eukaryota; Metazoa; Chordata; Aves; Anseriformes; Anatidae
Description: lncRNA (ENSABRG00000007430.1)
Source: RNAcentral
AGAGCACUCUUGGUACCAUAUUCUGCUGAACUCUGAUUAUAUUCAAUGGGGAUCAGGCCUCUACUCCACCCUAGAACGCCUUUUGCUCUCAAAGGAAAUAAGUGUAAGAACAUAUUGGGUGUUGCAUCCUGGGCACCUCCUCUUCCUCUGCCUUCUCUGAAGCAGAUGCUCUGGCCAGUCUACAGCUUCCAGGAUGAUUUUCCCAUCAGAGCGCUGAAGCUGAGAACGAACAGCAUAUCACAGCUAACUCGGAAAAAUGAGGAUGCAGACAUAAGGACUUGGAGCUGCUCCUGUGUGUAAGGGAGUGACCCCACCUUGCACGCUCAGAGGUGCAGGGCCACCUGUGCCCUGCUGUGACCGCUGGCCUGCAGAGUGCUCGGUGCCAGUGUCUCCCUGCCUGGUGUUGAAGAUGUUGCCCUUAGGUCUUUUUCUGCCUGCUUAUGGCAAUCCAAGUGGACAUUUGGCACAGCCUUUGCAAUCACAAUGAAAACCGCUAUCGUUGCAUGGGGAGAAUUUUGUCCUAGUGCAAAAGGUGGCUAUGUACAAGGGAGGACGCAGUGAUGCUCCCAAGGGAAACAGUUAGGAAACUUAAAUAAACAGUUGCUCGGUCACUUCA